RNAcentral lists this long non-coding RNA (927 nucleotides) under Ursus maritimus (polar bear). RNAcentral's name for it is "lncRNA (ENSUMAG00000011465.1)". The record is from RNAcentral. Lineage: Eukaryota; Metazoa; Chordata; Mammalia; Carnivora; Ursidae.
AAGAGCGCGUUUCUUGUUUCCUGCUUCUCUUUUGAAAACGGAGUCUCCGUAUUUUAUCCCUGCAGACUCCCCGGGCUUCUCUCCAAACGAUGAAUUCCACUGUUCUGAAAGUUUGGUCCCGGUGCUCUGGGCCAUUCAUGAGGUGCUCAGCUCCCCGAUUUCCCCGCCGUGGGCCACAGCCACCUGAUGUGAACCAUUCCUUAUUUUCUACUCAUAUUUGCGGCCCGUCAGAUUGACCUGAGCGAAUGGGUUCCAUGCCUCCAGCCAGCUCCGGGGGGCCGGGUUCAAACAGUCAGGAGGCUGUGUCCAGGCUCGGCGAGGGGACAGGGAGCCCCAGCUGAAGAUCGGUGCUCCACGAACGCCCGGGUGGACGGGGGUGCUGUCCCCUGUGGGAUGGGCAAGACCCACCAGGCUGUCCUGUGGGGCUGAGGCUCGAGUGGAAUUGGGACGCCUCCACGUCUGUCACUUCUGAAACCCAAACAACCUCAAGGAAGCCUCCCCUCUGCUCUCCAGCACAGCGUUUGGACAAGGGGACAGCAGCAGCAUCGAAUGAAGACCCCAGACCACACAACUCCUCCCCAGAGACGGUCCCCACAGAGGAAGCGGCACUCGCGGCCCUUCUCGCCGAAAUGCAUUCCUGUACCAUUCUGUUUAAACUGGACCAAGGCUCUCAGAAAAGAACCUCGCGUUCCCUCGCCCACAGCCUCUGCAUGACUGUUCCACGUAAGCCUGGACUCCUCCUCCCACCUCGCCUCUUCUCUUUCUCAUGAUUUGCUCAGCUAACCCUUUUUAAAAUAUUUUCUGUUUCAGUGUAUAUGUUGCUUAUUUGUUUUAUUUAUUGAGAUAUUUUUAACAAGCUCGGUGACUGCAACGUGGCUGUGUACCCUGCCCCCUCCCGGGAAUAAUAAAGAUGUCCAUGCAGCCCCG